Molecule: ribosomal RNA, 182 nt
Filed under: uncultured bacterium
Lineage: Bacteria
Description: partial 16S ribosomal RNA
Rfam family: Bacterial small subunit ribosomal RNA
Source: RNAcentral
CGUGAAGUCGGAAUCGCUAGUAAUCGCGGAUCAGCAUGCCGCGGUGAAUACGUUCCCGGGCCUUGUACACACCGCCCGUCACACCAUGAGAGUCGGGAACACCCGAAGUCCGUAGCCUAACCGCAAGGGGGGCGCGGCCGAAGGUGGGUUCGAUAAUUGGGGUGAAGUCGUAACAAGGUAUC